AGAAAUACUGCCCUCAAUGUGCUGACAUCCGGUUGGGCAGUGAGGAAAAGGCAGGGACCAUGACCUGACAUUUGCCUUUGAGGAGCGGGCAGGUAGUGUGUCAGACCAGGUCAGGAUAGACUUCUGUAUACUCCUCUUGGAUACUGCUCCUUACAUAAACUGGAGGGCAGUGCCAUCUGCACCAUGCCUCACCAGCCCAGCCAGCAAUGAUCACCGACAGCUUCCCGAGAGCUGUCUGUCUUUCUCUAACUGACCUUGCUGCAGCUGCCUAGUAACUGGACUGUUAAGAGGCCUCAAGUGUUCUCUGUUUCUUUCACUUUUAUCAUUCCCCUGGCAGACUCUGUCCAAAGGCCCAUCUCCACAUGGAGUAAAUUCUUCAGGUUGUGGGAGUUCUGCCCCGUGUAUUCAUCUUCAACCCUUUACCAAUCACCUCUCACCCCAGGCUUUCUCCAGCCAGCCAGCUGGUUCUUGUCUCUUCCUGAACACAUGUCAUUCGCAGCCUACACCACUGCCUCCCAGCUCUCAAAUAAUUUAUUCCUGUCUUUGUAUUGUAAUUUAUUCUCAGUAUAGAAGAACAUGUGCUGACUGUCCAAAGACAAUCCCUUUUAUAUACGCUUUUAUUCUUUUCUGAAAAGAUAGCUAAGGACACAAUCACACCUGAAGACCCUUCAUUACAGUAGUGAAACUGGUACCAAUAAAUCCUUUGUUUGAUGUUCCUCU
This 720-nucleotide long non-coding RNA is filed under the name Rattus norvegicus (Norway rat). RNAcentral's name for it is "long non-coding RNA NONRATT005800". The record is from RNAcentral. Lineage: Eukaryota; Metazoa; Chordata; Mammalia; Rodentia; Muridae.